RNAcentral lists this long non-coding RNA (334 nucleotides) under Lathyrus oleraceus (garden pea). RNAcentral's name for it is "Pisum sativum (pea) long non-coding RNA (PSAT_LNC026873)". The record is from RNAcentral. Lineage: Eukaryota; Viridiplantae; Streptophyta; Magnoliopsida; Fabales; Fabaceae.
UGACUAAAUAAUAGAGGUAUCAAUAUUGAAAUCAAUAAUAGUAGUGAUAUGACCAUUUGAAAAUAGGAAUUUUUUAUUGUAAGUUACAUAGUCAAAAUCUUAGUAACUAUUUGAGAUACAAUAUGAUUAUGAAGCUAAGAAGAGUAAUCUUAGAAAAUAACAUUUCUUUAAAACAAUUACUUCUCUUAAUUUGAUUAGACCUUUAUCUAAAUCCAAAGUCAGUGGUGGGGAGCCUUGUUAUCCUUGACCCCAUACUUGUGCUUUAUUUGAACAAAAUUUCAGUGCUUCCAUGAUACUGAAUACUUAAUACUCUUCUUCAUUAUAAUUAUCUUUU